GACGAACGCUGGCGGCGUGCUUAACACAUGCAAGUCGAGCGGAAAGGCCACUUCGGUGGUACUCGAGCGGCGAACGGGUGAGUAACACGUGAGUAAUCUGCCCCUGGCUUUGGGAUAGCCACCGGAAACGGUGAUUAAUACCGGAUACGACCACUUCUCGCAUGGGAUGGUGGUGGAAAGUUUUUUCGGCCAGGGAUGUGCUCGCGGCCUAUCAGCUUGAUGGUGAGGUAAUGGCUCACCAUGGCUUCGACGGGUAGCCGGCCUGCGAGGGUGACCGGUCACACUGGGGCUGGGACACGGCCCAGACUCCUACGGGAGGCAGCAGUGGGGAAUAUUGGACAAUGGGCGGAAGCGUGAUCCAGCAACGCCGCGUGAGGGAUGACGGCCUUCGGGUUGUAAACCUCUUUCAGCAGGGACGAAGCGCAAGUGACGGUACCUGCAGAAGAAGCACCGGCCAACUACGUGCCAGCCGCCGCCGUAA
This 481-nucleotide ribosomal RNA is filed under the name uncultured bacterium. RNAcentral describes it as "partial 16S ribosomal RNA". It matches the Rfam family "Bacterial small subunit ribosomal RNA", at positions 28 to 523 of the family's 1533-position model. The record is from RNAcentral.